UACGGAGGGUGCGAGCGUUGUCCGGAAUCACUGGGCGUAAAGGGCGCGUAGGCGGCCUGAUAAGUAGGGGUGAAAUCCUGCGGCUUAACCGCAGGCUGCCUUCUAAACUGUCAGGCUUGAGCACAGUAGAGGCAGGUGGAAUUCCCGGUGUAGCGGUGGAAUGCGUAGAGAUCGGGAAGAACAUCAGUGGCGAAGGCGGCCUGCUGGGCUGUUGCUGACGCUGAGGCGCGACAGCGUGGGAGCAAACGAGGA
This 252-nucleotide ribosomal RNA is filed under the name uncultured bacterium. RNAcentral's name for it is "partial 16S ribosomal RNA". It matches the Rfam family "Bacterial small subunit ribosomal RNA", at positions 524 to 778 of the family's 1533-position model. The record is from RNAcentral.